ACAGGUGUUGCUGACUGGGUGAAAUUUAUUUCUGCAACUCAGCCCCUAUCCAAUGAAGUCCUGCAGGACACACUGAAGUGGAGAAUCUGACCCAGCAUCUGUGGUGAGCAGGAUGGAUGGACCGAGCAUCUGAGCAGCACCUUGGCCCAAGCUGAGCAGGUGCUACUGCUGCCAAUGACACAGAGUCCCAGACGUGAAGCUGUCUGUGCUCUCCUGGGGACGAGGGGACAACCUGUUACAAGCAGAUGUGGUUCUGGUAAGUGGCACUCUGAGCUUCUCCUGCAGAUACCCAGGGGAAAACUGAAAGCCUGCCUGCUGGAGGAGGAGUCUUAUUUGAACCAAAAAGUUUGGCUCUGUCACAGCAGGAAUUACUUGCUGCCUUCAGCUGGGCAAAGCUGCACAUUUU
Molecule: long non-coding RNA, 406 nt
Filed under: Serinus canaria (Common canary)
Lineage: Eukaryota; Metazoa; Chordata; Aves; Passeriformes; Fringillidae
Description: lncRNA (ENSSCAG00000003865.1)
Source: RNAcentral